This 271-nucleotide ribosomal RNA is filed under the name uncultured bacterium. Its description in RNAcentral is "partial 16S ribosomal RNA". It matches the Rfam family "Bacterial small subunit ribosomal RNA", at positions 524 to 794 of the family's 1533-position model. The record is from RNAcentral.
UACGGAGGGUGCAAGCGUUGUUCGGAAUUACUGGGCGUAAAGAGCUUGUAGGCGGCCCGUUAAGUCUGAUGUGAAAGCCCUCGGCUCAACCGGGGAAGUGCAUUGGAUACUGGCGGGCUUGAGUAUGGGAGAGGAGAGCGGAAUUCCCGGUGUAGAGGUGAAAUUCGUAGAUAUCGGGAGGAACAUCUGUGGCGAAGGCGGCUCUCUGGACCAAUACUGACGCUGAGAAGCGAAAGCGUGGGGAGCAAACAGGAUUAGAAACCCGAGUAGU